Molecule: ribosomal RNA, 253 nt
Filed under: uncultured bacterium
Lineage: Bacteria
Description: partial 16S ribosomal RNA
Rfam family: Bacterial small subunit ribosomal RNA
Source: RNAcentral
UACGGGGGGGGCAAGCGUUGUUCGGAAUUACUGGGCGUAAAGGGCUCGUAGGCGGCCAACUAAGUCAGACGUGAAAUCCCUGGGCUCAACCCAGGAACUGCGUCCGAUACUGGUUGGCUUGAAUCCGGGAGAGGGAUGUGGAAUUCCAGGUGUAGCGGUGAAAUGCGUAGAUAUCUGGAGGAACACCGGUGGCGAAGGCGGCAUCCUGGACCGGUAUUGACGCUGAGGCGCGAAAGCCAGGGGAGCAAACGGG